This 892-nucleotide ribosomal RNA is filed under the name uncultured archaeon. RNAcentral's name for it is "bacterial SSU rRNA". It matches the Rfam family "Archaeal small subunit ribosomal RNA", at positions 8 to 909 of the family's 1478-position model. The record is from RNAcentral.
UUGAUCCUGCCGGACCCGACUGCUAUCAGAGUGGGACUAAGCCAUGCGAGUCAACAUAGCAAUAUGUGGCAUACGGCUCAGUAACACGUAGUCAACAUGCCCAGGGGACGUGGAUAACCUCGGGAAACUGAGGAUAAACCGCGAUAAGUCACUACUUCUGGAAUGGGUAAUGACUCAAAUCUAUAUGGCCCCUGGAUUGGACUGCGGCCGAUCAGGCUGUUGGUGAGGUAAUGGCCCACCAAACCUGUAACCGGUACGGGCUCUGAGGGGAGGAGCCCGGAGAUGGGCACUGAGACAAGGGCCCAGGCCCUAUGGGGCGCAGCAGGCGCGAAACCUCUGCAAUAGGCGAAAGCUUGACAGGGUUACUCUGAGUGAUUUCCGUUAAGGAAAUCUUUUGGCACCUCUAAAAAUGGUGCAGAAUAAGGGGUGGGCAAGUCUGGUGUCAGCCGCCGCGGUGAUACCAGCACCCCGAGUGGUCGGGACGUUUAUUGGGCCUAAAGCAUCCGUAGCCGGUUCUACAAGUCUUCCGUUAAAUCCAACUGCUUAACAGGUGGGCUGCGGAAGAUGCUAUARAGCUAGGAGGCGGGAGAGGCAAGCGGUACUCGAUGGGUAGGGGUAAAAUCCGUUGAUCCAUUGAAGACCACCAGUGGCGAAGGCGGCUUGCCAGAACGCGCUCGACGGUGAGGGAUGAAAGCUGGGGGAGCAAACCGGAUUAGAUACCCGGGUAGUCCCAGCUGUAAACGAUGCAGACUCGGUGAUGAGUUGGCUAUAUGCCAACUCAGUGCCGCAGGGAAGCCGUUAAGUUUGCCGCCUGGGGAGUACGGUCGCAAGACUGAAACUUAAAGGAUUGGCGGGGGAGCACCACAAGGGGUGAAGCCUGCGGUUCAAUUGG